UGUUUGAGGAGAUCCAUGAGGGAUGAAGAGCUUUGGUAUCUUCAUGCUGAGAAGGAAGUGCUAGCUAGUUGGUUUGACCUUGGAGGGUUUUAUUCCCUGUGGAGACYUCUCCUGCUCUGAGGACAGUCGAGCUGCUGGUAGCACUGCAGAGAGCAAAGACUGUCUACAAAGAGCAAAGACAUCAAUACUUGUGUGAAUAUAUGUACCCACCUGAAUGUAUAUGCCAGAACUAUUGAUGGGAUUUCUUCAUGUCCAGGAAAAUUCAAUUGAAACAGUUCUGUGAGCCUCUGAUCUGCAGUUUUCACUASUGUGAUAAAUUAUGAAUUCUGCGGGAGUCUCUGUGGUCAUUUGGCAUAUCAGCAGAUUGUGAAAAGAAAUGGUAYCUUUGAGAGGAGCUAUGAUUUUGAUACAAAUUGUAUUAUAAUGAAGAAAYUUAUUCCCUCCUUAAUCUAUUCGUUAAUGUUAAAAUGCAGAGAAAUGUCYUGAAAGCAGAGAGAAGCCUGCUGUAAGGAGCUGUCAGAGGGGUGGUAGCGCAUGGUGCCUGGAGAGAUGGAGACUGUGUGGUCCAGCAUCUCUGGAAGAUGAGAAUAGAGAAACCGUACAGAGAACAGGCUCAUAAGAAUUUCAAAGCUCCUGUGGAGAUAUGCUCUAAAAUAUUCCUUUUGAAGACCUGGAACUGAACCCGAAGCCUGCUCAGGCCCUUUAGAGCACAGGGAGGUUGCAUUCAUUUUGAAACACCUCCCUUUAGUGCCCCUGAGCUUCUGACCGAGCUUCUGUUUCUCCCGCUUAGUCCUUUUUCUU
This is a long non-coding RNA of Nothoprocta perdicaria, 801 nucleotides long. RefSeq lists it as uncharacterized. Lineage: Eukaryota; Metazoa; Chordata; Aves; Tinamiformes; Tinamidae. The record is from RefSeq and is a predicted model, not a curated record. The transcript is spliced from 2 exons.